GGGGCGCCUCUCGCGCCGCGCGUCUCUCGCUACUUUUCUCGCCCGGCCGCCGCCCCUCCCCCUCCGAGGGUGGAGGACGCCGCGGAGCUUGGGCCGCCCGGAUCAAGAUGGCGGCCGGCGCCCACCCCUGGGCUUUGUCAUUGGACGGCGCCUCACCCCCAGAAAACUUAACCUUUUGACAAUUACCAGUGUAAACAUAUCACAAUAAUAUAUUUAACAAUGUUAUUGUGGUGUCGCUGCAAUAAAUAACUGGUACCACUUGGGUCUCCUUAAUGAACAAAGCCUGGAAUAAGAUUUUUCUGGGCAGCUGCUCCUUUAUUCACCAAGAUGCUUCCCAUUUUUUUGUGUGGAUCUGGUCCAUUAAGAAGACUGAAAUGUGCAUCCUUUGGGUGUGCUUAACACAAAGCUCUACAAAGCUCUCCAAGGUUAGUCUGCCAGACUGUGUCUCCUGUGGAUGAAAUUGGCUGCACUUGAAUGAGCAAUGAUGUAUGAAGACCUUUAAAAAGAACAGGACCCAUGAUAGAACUUGAGCACUAUUUUGAGCAUUGAACCCUUUGUGUUGCAAUGGAGAAAACUCCACCAAGUCAAAUGAGAGCACAAGUAUAUACCAUCGAGCUUUAUCUAAGCAGCAAAGAUAUACAAAGAAGAAUAUAUAUGAGCUUAUAUAAUGAAGUUUUAGUGGGCUUUCAUGAACAAGUCAAGCCAAAUCACAAGUGAGAAGCCUACCAUCUGUUCAGCCGGCCUGGGAUUCAGGCAGACAGUGGACUGGCAAGCACCCUGGGAGACUGAGGUAGGAGGUGGCCUGAGGAGACAAGAGAGGAACAAGGAUCUAGAACCAGCCUUCAGCCUGGCUUUUGGUAGAAAACCUGAAGUCACCCUCUUCCCCAAGUUUGGGGAACUUGCUCUGAGGGCGAAGUCUUCACUGGCUUUCUGA
Molecule: long non-coding RNA, 934 nt
Filed under: Chinchilla lanigera (long-tailed chinchilla)
Lineage: Eukaryota; Metazoa; Chordata; Mammalia; Rodentia; Chinchillidae
Description: lncRNA (ENSCLAG00000023167.1)
Source: RNAcentral